This is a non-coding RNA of Caerostris extrusa, 73 nucleotides long. The record is from the annotation of a GenBank genome assembly. NCBI's taxonomy places the organism in Eukaryota, Metazoa, Arthropoda, Arachnida, Araneae, Araneidae.
GUCCACGUGACCUAACGGAUAAGACGUCUGACUUCGAAUCAGAAGAUUACAGAUUCGAAUACUGCCGUAGACU